This is a non-coding RNA of Microbotryomycetes sp. JL201, 95 nucleotides long. The record is from the annotation of a GenBank genome assembly. NCBI's taxonomy places the organism in Eukaryota, Fungi, Basidiomycota, Microbotryomycetes.
GACGGUAUCGUCUAGUGGUCUAGGACGCACGGUUUUGAUUACUUUCGAGCAAGUCAAACCUCCGUGCAACCUGGGUUCGAACCCCAGUACUGUCU